This 166-nucleotide ribosomal RNA is filed under the name uncultured bacterium. Its description in RNAcentral is "partial 16S rRNA". It matches the Rfam family "Bacterial small subunit ribosomal RNA", at positions 355 to 511 of the family's 1533-position model. The record is from RNAcentral.
UAGGGAAUCUUCGGCAAUGGGGGCAACCCUGACCGAGCAACGCCGCGUGAGUGAAGAAGGUUUUUCGGAUCGUAAAGCUCUGUUGUAAGAGAAGAACGUGUGUGAGAGUGGAAAGUUCACACAGUGACGGUAACUUACCAGAAAGGGACGGCUAACUACGUACCAG